Molecule: long non-coding RNA, 723 nt
Filed under: Chinchilla lanigera (long-tailed chinchilla)
Lineage: Eukaryota; Metazoa; Chordata; Mammalia; Rodentia; Chinchillidae
Description: lncRNA (ENSCLAG00000027397.1)
Source: RNAcentral
ACAGAAACAAACCCAGUCUCGCAUCUCUGUGGGCUAAGUUGGUCCCAGCAGAACACAGACCCGGGAUGUAUUUCACUAUUCCAUCGUUUCAUCGACAUCGGAAAGAGGAAAAUGAUGGGGUUGUUCAAGGAUUUCUCAGCUUGGCUUGAAGCCCCUGCGAUUGCUCGGCGUGGGCGUGCACAGCUGGACUUCACAUUCCCAUUUGCGGCGGAGGCUUCAUCUGAAAUGCUGUGACAAAAGGAGUUUGCAAGUUUUCCAAGCAAAUGGAAGUGAUAUCUUAAGAGAAAAGAGUUUGUGCUCAGAAUCUUGACAGUGGAUUCAAAGUUGAAAAGACAAAGUGGACAAUCUCCAGGAAGCAAAGAGUAUUUUGGAACCAAACACUAAAAAUGACACGUAUGAUUUUUUUUCAAAUAGGAAAUAAAUACUCCUCGGUCAUCUUCCUCCUCAAUAGUUGUAAGCACUGGUUACUUCUGUCUGGCAAUUUAUAAAUAUAAGCUACUCAUUGCUCAGGCAAAUACAGAGUGUUUGUUUCCCAUGAUGGACAUGGCCAUUCUUCACCAUAGGAAAGACUGGUAUGAAAGGAGCACUAGGCCCAGUGCGCGCUGACCUUCUUGAGUCCUCACUUUCAUUUGAUAUUUGAAGAUGCACUUUUGGAAAAUUCUUGGACAUUAUUUAAAGUAAACAAGAUUUGUACAAUGUUGGUUCAGUAAAUGUCCUCCCAGC